This 313-nucleotide ribosomal RNA is filed under the name uncultured bacterium. RNAcentral's name for it is "bacterial SSU rRNA". It matches the Rfam family "Bacterial small subunit ribosomal RNA", at positions 30 to 342 of the family's 1533-position model. The record is from RNAcentral.
AUUGAACGCUGGCGGCGUGCUUAACACAUGCAAGUCGAUCGGUAACAGGUGUAGCAAUACAUGCUGACGAGAGGCGGACGGGUGAGUAAUGCUUGGGAAUCUGCCUAUUAGUGGGGGGACAACCCGGGGAAACUCGGGCUAAUACCGCAUACGCUCUACGGAGGAAAGCCGGGGACCGCAAGGCCUGGCGCUAAUAGAUGAGCCCAAGUCGGAUUAGCUAGUUGGUAGGGAACGGCCUACCAAGGCGACAAUCCGUAGCUGGUCUGAGAGGCGACCAGCCACACCGGAACUGAGACACGGUCCGGACUCCUAC